AGAGUUUGAUCCUGGCUCAGAAUGAAAGCUGGCGGCGUGCCUUACACAUGCAAGUCGAGCGAGGCCGUGUAGCAAUACACGAGUCGAGCGGCGAACGGGUGAGUAACGCGUGGAUGACCUGCCCUCGAGUGGGGAAUAACCCGGGGAGACUCGGGCUAAUACCGCAUACGACCGAAAGGUGAAAAGGGGCUCGCAAGAGCUCUUGCUGGAGGAGGGGUCCGCGUCCGAUUAGCUAGUUGGUGGGGUAAUGGCCUACCAAGGCGACGAUCGGUAGCCGGCCUGAGAGGGUGAUCGGCCACACUGGAACUGAGACACGGUCCAGACUCCUACGGGAGGCAGCAGUGGGGAAUUUUGCGCAAUGGGCGAGAGCCUGACGCAGCAACGCCGCGUGGAGGAUGAAGGUCUUUGGAUUGUAAACUCCUGUCAGCGGAGAAAAAGCGACCGGUCCUAAUACGAUCGGGAGUUGAUUGUAUCCGCAGAGGAAGCCCCGGCUAACUCUGUGCCAGCAGCCGCGGUAAUACAGAGGGGGCAAGCGUUAUUCGGAAUUAUUGGGCGUAAAGGGCGCGUAGGCGGCCCAUCAAGUGACGGGUGAAAUCCCUCGGCUUAACCGAGGAACUGCCUGUCAAACUGGAGGGCUUGAGACCAGGAGAGGUGAGUGGAAUUCCCAGUGUAGCGGUGAAAUGCGUAGAUAUUGGGAGGAACACCAGUGGCGAAAGCGGCUCACUGGACUGGUACUGACGCUGAGCGCGAAAGCGUGGGGAGCAAACAGGAUUAGAUACCCUGGUAGUCCACGCCGUAACGAUUAGUGCUUGGUGUUAACGGGUAUCGACCCCUGCUGUUGCCGA
This 845-nucleotide ribosomal RNA is filed under the name uncultured bacterium. RNAcentral's name for it is "bacterial SSU rRNA". It matches the Rfam family "Bacterial small subunit ribosomal RNA", at positions 8 to 849 of the family's 1533-position model. The record is from RNAcentral.